CAGCCGCCGCGGUAAUACGAAGGGUGCAAGCGUUACUCGGAAUUACUGGGAGUAAAGCGUGCGUAGGUGGUGGUUUAAGUCCGUUGUGAAAGCCCUGGGCUCAACCUGGGAAUUGCAGUGGAUACUGGGUCACUAGAGUGUGGUAGAGGAUAGUGGAAUUUCCGGUGUAGCAGUGAAAUGCGUAGAGAUCGGAAGGAACAUCUGUGGCGAAGGCGACUAUCUGGGCCAACACUGACACUGAGGCACGAAAGCGUGGGGAGCAAACAGGAUUAGAUACCCGUGUAGUCCCUGUCUCUUAUAC
Molecule: ribosomal RNA, 301 nt
Filed under: uncultured bacterium
Lineage: Bacteria
Description: partial 16S ribosomal RNA
Rfam family: Bacterial small subunit ribosomal RNA
Source: RNAcentral